This is a long non-coding RNA of Alexandromys fortis (reed vole), 892 nucleotides long. RefSeq lists it as uncharacterized. The record is from RefSeq and is a predicted model, not a curated record. The transcript has 3 exons. Lineage: Eukaryota; Metazoa; Chordata; Mammalia; Rodentia; Cricetidae.
ACCUCCAAUGUGUGAAAAGAUGUAAAUAUAAGGGAGAAAUAUAAACGCUCUGCGUUGAAGACUUGAAAUAGCCUAUUUAACACUGAUAACCACAAGGGCUUCUUGCAGAUUGUGAAGUAGGGUUUUUUAAAAUUAGGAGCCGGCUAUGUUGCAACCCAAAAAGCAUAUGAUGUCACUGUUGCUAGGGUUGUGCAAUGCUGCAUGCCAGUAACUGAACAAACAAACAGGAUAAAUCCACACAAAUUGGUGGCUUUGCUGUUGGAACGCGCUGGCCAUCUGCUUAUUGGUUUAUUGUUUUCUUUUUCCAAUCCUGUGUUUUCUCACCCCAUUGUGUCUAUGUAUCUGACACUUGGAAUUCAGAGCUGCUAUAAGGGGCUUCGUCAGCCAGUCAUCUUUGCGGGUCUGCUGUUUGCUUCUCGGUCCAGGUGUGAAGAAGCACGAAGACAGAAUCCGUGAGGAGGCAGAGCACUUUCAGAAGACAUGUUCUGAGCCUGGGGAAUAAGCUGUGAACACGGCUGCUUAGAUCGGUAAAGUGUGCCUAUCUCUCAGAAGCCCGCGCUUUACUUUUAAUAUAAAGGUUUUUUGCCGAGUGCUCACGAAUGCUUUGACAACUUGUAAUGGUGACUGUGCUAAUAACACAUACGGUAUGCAAUCAUGUUCCUGGAAUCUUAAGAUGAAAUCUACAUAGUGGUAUCUGUCGUUACAAAAAAGAAAAUAGCGGCAGCAAUGAGAAGAUUCAACAGUCGCAGAUCAGCUUCCUGUGUUUGCAGCCUGUUCCUAUAAAAGAUAAAACACCAUAAAGCUCACCCAAAUUAUGUUUCAGGUGUCAUUAUUUGAAUGUUUAGAGGGUGGGUGGAUGCAUGGGGUGGACAGAUUGCUGUAAAUUAGCUGU